GACGAACGCUGGCGGCGUGCUUAACACAUGCAAGUCGAACGGAAAGGCCCUGCUUUUGUGGGGUGCUCGAGUGGCGAACGGGUGAGUAACAAGUGAGUAACCUGCCCUUGACUUUGGGAUAACUUCAGGAAACUGGGGCUAAUACCGGAUAGGAGCUCCUGCUGCAUGGUGGGGGUUGGAAAGUUUCGGCGGUUGGGGAUGGACUCGCGGCUUAUCAGCUUGUUGGUGGGGUAGUGGCUUACCAAGGCUUUGACGGGUAGCCGGCCUGAGAGGGUGACCGGCCACAUUGGGACUGAGAUACGGCCCAGACUCCUACGGGAGGCAGCAGUGGGGAAUAUUGCACAAUGGGCGGAAGCCUUAUGCAGCAACGCCGCGUGCGGGAUGACGGCCUUCGGGUUGUAAACCGCUUUCGCCUGUGACGAAGCGUGAGUGGCGGUAAUGGGUAAAGAAGCACCGGCUAACUACGUG
RNAcentral lists this ribosomal RNA (468 nucleotides) under uncultured bacterium. RNAcentral describes it as "partial 16S ribosomal RNA". It matches the Rfam family "Bacterial small subunit ribosomal RNA", at positions 28 to 507 of the family's 1533-position model. The record is from RNAcentral.